CAGUAGCCGCGGUAAUACGGAGGGAGCUAGCGUUGUUCGGAAUUACUGGGCGUAAAGCGCGCGUAGGCGGUUACUCAAGUCAGAGGUGAAAGCCCGGGGCUCAACCCCGGAACUGCCUUUGAAACUAGGUGACUAGAAUCUUGGAGAGGUCAGUGGAAUUCCGAGUGUAGAGGUGAAAUUCGUAGAUAUUCGGAAGAACACCAGUGGCGAAGGCGACUGACUGGACAAGUAUUGACGCUGAGGUGCGAAAGCGUGGGGAGCAAACAGGAUUAGAUACCCCUGUAGUCCCUGUCUCUUAUAU
Molecule: ribosomal RNA, 301 nt
Filed under: uncultured bacterium
Lineage: Bacteria
Description: partial 16S ribosomal RNA
Rfam family: Bacterial small subunit ribosomal RNA
Source: RNAcentral